Molecule: ribosomal RNA, 459 nt
Filed under: uncultured bacterium
Lineage: Bacteria
Description: partial 16S ribosomal RNA
Rfam family: Bacterial small subunit ribosomal RNA
Source: RNAcentral
CCUACGGGGGGCAGCAGUGAGGAAUAUUGGUCAAUGGGCGCGAGCCUGAACCAGCCAAGUAGCGUGAAGGAUGACUGCCCUACGGGUUGUAAACUUCUUUUAUAAAGGAAUAAAGUGAGGCACGUGUGCCUUUUUGUAUGUACUUUAUGAAUAAGGAUCGGCUAACUCCGUGCCAGCAGCCGCGGUAAUACGGAGGAUGCGAGCGUUAUCCGGAUUUAUUGGGUUUAAAGGGUGCGUAGGCGGUCCGUUAAGUCAGCGGUAAAAUUGCGGGGCUCAACCCCGUCGAGCCGUUGAAACUGGCAGACUUGAGUUGGCGAGAAGUACGCGGAAUGCGCGGUGUAGCGGUGAAAUGCAUAGAUAUCGCGCAGAACUCCGAUUGCGAAGGCAGCGUACCGGCGCCAGACUGACGCUGAGGCACGAAAGCGUGGGGAUCGAACAGGAUUAGAUACCCUUGUAGUC